GUCGAACGCGAAAGGGGGGCAACCCCUGAGUAGAGUGGCGAACGGGUGAGUAAUACAUCGGAACGUGUCCAGUAGCGGGGGAUAACCUCUCGAAAGAGAGGCUAAUACCGCAUACGACCUACGGGUGAAAGAGGGGGAUCGCAAGACCUCUCACUAUUGGAGCGGCCGAUGUCGGAUUAGCUGGCUGGUGGGGUAACGGCCCACCAAGGCGACGAUCCGUAGCUGGUCUGAGAGGACGACCAGCCACACUGGAACUGAGACACGGUCCAGACUCCUACGGGAGGCAGCAGUGGGGAAUUUUGGACAAUGGGCGAAAGCCUGAUCCAGCCAUGCCGCGUGAGUGUAGAAGGCCCUCGGGUUGUAAAGCUCUUUCGGCGGGGACGAAAAGGUCCGUGCGAACACCACGGAUCCAUGACGGUACCCGCAGAAGAAGCACCGGCUGACUACGUGCCAGCAGCCGCGGUAAUACGUAGGGUGCAGGCGCUAAUCGGAAUUACUGGGCGUAAAGCGUGCGCAGGCGGUCUAUUAAGACAGGUGUGAAAUCCCCGGGCUUAACCUGGGAACUGCGCUUGUAACUGAUAGGCUGGAGUGUGGCAGAGGGGGGUGGAAUUCCACGUGUAGCAGUGAAAUGCGUAGAGAUGUGGAGGAACACCGAUGGCGAAGGCAGCCCCCUGGGCUAACACUGACGCUCAUGCACGAAAGCGUGGGGAGCAAACAGGAUUAGAUACCCUGGUAGUCCACGCCCUAAACUAUGUCAACUGGUUGUCGGGGAAGCAAUUCCUUGGUAACGAAGCUAACGCGUGAAGUUGACCGCCUGGGGAGUACGGCCGCAGGUUAAAACUCAAGGAAUUGACGGGGACCCGCACAAGCGGUGGAUUAUGUGGAUUAAUUCGAUGCAACGCGAAAACCUUACCUACCCUUGACAUGCCAGGAACCCUCCAGAGAUGGAGGGUGCCCGAAAGGGAGCCUG
This 970-nucleotide ribosomal RNA is filed under the name uncultured bacterium. Its description in RNAcentral is "bacterial SSU rRNA". It matches the Rfam family "Bacterial small subunit ribosomal RNA", at positions 61 to 1030 of the family's 1533-position model. The record is from RNAcentral.